CUGGUACGUAAACUCCUGUCCGAGGGGAAGAAAAAAAUGACGGUACCCUUGGAGGAAGCCCCGGCUAACUCCGUGCCAGCAGCCGCGGUAAGAACGGGGUGGGGCGAGCGUUGUUCGGAAUUACUGGGCGUAAAGGGCGCGCAGGCGGCCUGGGAAGUUUUGGGUGAAAGCCCCCGGCUCCWCCGGGGAAUGRCCUCAGAAACCACUAGGCUGGAGURCUGCAGAGGGAAGCGGAAUUCCCGGUGGAGCGGUGAAAUGCGUAGAUAUCGGGAGGAACACCGGAGGCGAAGGCGGCUUCCUGGCAUCAGACACUGACGCUGAGGCGCGAAARCUAGGGGAGCAACACAGGCGAUUAGAUAACUCCCGGUAGUACGCUACGCCGUAAUACGACUGAGUGUAACUACGUGUGUGGGAGGUUAUUAAAAGUCCUUCCGUGUCG
This 439-nucleotide ribosomal RNA is filed under the name uncultured bacterium. RNAcentral's name for it is "bacterial SSU rRNA". It matches the Rfam family "Bacterial small subunit ribosomal RNA", at positions 418 to 848 of the family's 1533-position model. The record is from RNAcentral.